GUGCCAGCAGCCGCGGUAAGACGAAGGUGGCGAGCGUUGUUCGGAAUCACUGGGCAUAAAGCGCACGUAGGCGGCGGCGUAAGUUGGAUGUGAAAUCCCCCGGCCCAACCGGGGAACUGCGUCCAGUACUGCGUUGCUUGAGGAUCCAAGGGGUGCAUGGAAUUCCCGGUGGAGCGGUGAAAUGCGUUGAUAUCGGGAGGAACUCCGGCGGCGAAAGCGGUGCACUGGUGGAUUACUGACGCUGAGGUGCGAAAGCCAGGGGAGCAAACGGGAUUAGAAACCCCCGUAGUCC
Molecule: ribosomal RNA, 292 nt
Filed under: uncultured bacterium
Lineage: Bacteria
Description: partial 16S ribosomal RNA
Rfam family: Bacterial small subunit ribosomal RNA
Source: RNAcentral